CUUGACUUAAAAAAUCAAACAAUAAAUUAACUGAUAACACUUUGGUCUGGAAAUGGGCUAAGGACCAUAAAAUCAUUACAAGGACUCAGUUUGGCGAAAAAUUGUGGUUUGGCGAUAACAGAAUUAUUUUCUGAUUGCAGUAGUUGUAACGUUGUGUGUAUUUGUGACAUCGAUUUUAUUUUAGCUUAGUGAUAAAGUUAAUCGUACACACGUAAAUUUUUUGGCUUUAGACAAAUAUUGAAUACUAAUAAUAGAUGCCAUAAACAUUUUUAAUAUUAAGUUUGUGAUCUUACGACAAUGGUUUAUAUUUACCUUCAGGCAAUUUUUAGAGCAAACGAUUAGGUAGCGUCUCUAAUCGGGACAAAUAAAGGUGAAAUGAAGUAAUGCUUGCUUCCGGGAAGUGUCACGGAUACGAGAAAGUAAAUUUCUUUGAUUAAUUGUUCUAGGGUGAAUGUUAUACAUAAAAAUUUCUGUUUAUUUAAAUACAAAUUAAAACGUUUUGUUUCUUUA
Molecule: long non-coding RNA, 510 nt
Organism: Tribolium castaneum (red flour beetle)
Lineage: Eukaryota; Metazoa; Arthropoda; Insecta; Coleoptera; Tenebrionidae
Exons: 2
Source: RefSeq, a predicted model, not a curated record